GUUUUCUUAUACUGUCUUUAUCUGGUUUUGGUAUUAACAGUUAUGCUGGCUUCAUAGGAUGAGUUAGGAAGUUCAGUAAGAGAUUGAUUCAGUAAGAUCUUCUAACUUCUGUAAGAGAUUGUAGAGAAUCAGUAUAAUUUAUUCCUUAAAUGUUUGGUAUUAUUAUCCACUGAUCCCUUCUGGACCUAAUGUUUUCUGUUUUGGAGAAUUAUUAUUAACUCAAUUUCUUCAUUUCUGCUAUAGUGUUUUCGCAUUUCUUUUUUCUUCUUUCAUACAAUGUCCAUUUCUCUGCUUAUAUUAUCCAUCUGAUUUUACAUGUUGUUCAUCUUUCCAUUAAAGCCUUUAGCAUAUUAAUAGGUUUUCUUAAAUUCCUGGUCUGAUAAUUCCAACAUUCCUGCCAUCUCUUACAUUAGGAUGAAGAGACAAUUUCUAAACUCCUUAUAUGCCAGACGAGAAACUGGAAAUCUUUAGGUGAAGUUCUUAAAUACUUAAAUGGUGAGUGGAACAGGUAGAGAAAGACUCCUUCAGUUUUCUUCUAUGAGUAGUAUAUGUAUGGGAUACGGGCACCUUGCAUAUUAUGUGGUAAUUAAAAG
Molecule: long non-coding RNA, 593 nt
Filed under: Marmota monax (woodchuck)
Lineage: Eukaryota; Metazoa; Chordata; Mammalia; Rodentia; Sciuridae
Source: RNAcentral